Non-coding RNA from Pelobates cultripes (western spadefoot toad), 243 nucleotides. NCBI's taxonomy places the organism in Eukaryota, Metazoa, Chordata, Amphibia, Anura, Pelobatidae. The record is from the annotation of a GenBank genome assembly.
GACGGAAUAUUUCCGUCAUGUGUCCUUUAGUUGUUAACAAUGCUUACUCGUAACUGUUAGCAUAUGGAAAAUAUUCAGCAUAUUGUUAUUUGUUGGUUUGAAUUUUGACUUGUUCCAAUAUGACUGCUGGCGAGAUCUAUUAAUGACAGUUAUAUCUUACAAUGGCUAACUAAAAGAAUAGGAGAAAAGCUGGAGUGAAAUUGUUGUCUGUGUCUCCUCCUCAUUUGCAGUCCUUGCCCUGAC